Molecule: ribosomal RNA, 968 nt
Filed under: Triticum aestivum (bread wheat)
Lineage: Eukaryota; Viridiplantae; Streptophyta; Magnoliopsida; Poales; Poaceae
Description: partial small subunit ribosomal RNA
Source: RNAcentral
GCACUCUUUCAGUACGUUAGCGGAAGGCAGUUCCUUUUCUCCUCCCUUCUCUCCCAUGAAAACCGAAGGAGGAGACCAGAUCCCACAAUCCACCGCCGGCCAGCCUGUGGGUUCUUCGCUCCUCCGUCUGCUGUUCUGGCAGCGGACGGAGUGGAGGACCCCGGGGCUAGGCUACGGCAUGUAGAUAGGUUAGGGCCUAGUUUGUGCAGCGGCGGCGUUUUAAUAUUGGAGGCAGCGCCGUCCUUCCAGCAAAUAAGGUGUCCACGGCUCUCUCCAUCCAGACAAGGCUGCUUGCGGCGGAGUCGAGGAGUCGGCGUCAUGUGUCUCUUGCAGGUCGCUCGGACCGGCGAGGUUAGGUUUUUCGGAUGUGGUAGCAGCGACGGCGACCCAAUCUUGGAAUUGUGUUCUCCGGCUUCGUUGUCUCGAUGGUGUGCGUUCCAGCGCCGUCUUGGAGUCUGGGAGAUUUAUUUAGGAUGCAGUGGGUCAGCGUGUGUCCUCUCUUCAGGGCACGUCGGUGACGGCCUGAGCAGGGCUGGUUCGGUGCAUGUCAAGUGGAUGGCGAUGGGCAAUUCCAGUGCUCUUCUGCGACUUGCUCAGAUGAAGACGAUGGAUCUGGAGUCCGACGGGCACCGGGACGCUCCCCGGCCGACGAGCCACAUUGGAGAAGGUUCUGCCGUUCGCGGCGGGCGAGUUCAUCGGCUCACAAAGCGGCUUUCUCCACGAUGGUGCUACUUCGGACCAAGGUAUGAAGGUUUGUUGUCUCUCUUAUCUCCGGCGGCGCUGCCGCGAUGGUGGAGACCGGCGGCAGUUGGGAAUCUGCACAAGUACCUCCAAGGUUGUGGUUGUAAUUUAUCUCAUCUCAGAGUGUUUUGUGCAAAUGUAUCAGGGCAUCUGUCCUCACUUUGUCUAGUUAGGGACUGCUUGUGUUGUAAAUUUGACAAAUAUUAAACACGUGGUUAUCAUUUCCA